Molecule: ribosomal RNA, 576 nt
Filed under: uncultured bacterium
Lineage: Bacteria
Description: partial 16S ribosomal RNA
Rfam family: Bacterial small subunit ribosomal RNA
Source: RNAcentral
UGGGGAAUAUUGCACAAUGGGCGCAAGCCUGAUGCAGCCAUGCCGCGUGUGUGAAGAAGGCCUUCGGGUUGUAAAGCACUUUCAGCGAGGAGGAAGGUGGUGAGCUUAAUACGCUCAUCAAUUGACGUUACUCGCAGAAGAAGCACCGGCUAACUCCGUGCCAGCAGCCGCGGUAAUACGGAGGGUGCAAGCGUUAAUCGGAAUUACUGGGCGUAAAGCGCACGCAGGCGGUUUGUUAAGUCAGAUGUGAAAUCCCCGGGCUCAACCUGGGAACUGCAUUUGAAACUGGCAAGCUAGAGUCUCGUAGAGGGGGGUAGAAUUCCAGGUGUAGCGGUGAAAUGCGUAGAGAUCUGGAGGAAUACCGGUGGCGAAGGCGGCCCCCUGGACGAAGACUGACGCUCAGGUGCGAAAAGCGUGGGGAGCAAAACAGGAUUAGAUACCCUGGUAGUCCACGCUGUAAACGAUGUCGAUUUUGGAGGUUGUGCCCUUGAGGCGUGGCUUCCGGAGCUAACGCGUUAAAUCGACCGCCUGGGGAGUACGGCCGCAAGGUUAAAACUCAAAGGAAUUGACGGGGUC